UAGUAGAAGUAUUUUCUAUAAAGAUAUAAGGUGAAAGAAAAAGGGUUAAUGGAUUACAUGUCCCUGCAAACAUAGUGAAUUACAGAUAUAUUCCUGUAAAGUUCAACUUUCGUAAGUUAUUCCUACAAAAGUCCUAAUGCAUUCAGAUACGUCCUUCUGGUUAGGAUCCGUUAGAGAACUGUUAAUAUUUUAACAAUAGAGUUGUAAAAUGAUAAUUUUGCUCUUGCCCUCUUCCUCUUCCUUCUCUUUCUCUUCAGGCUACAGGGGCAGACGACGGCGGCGGCGGCGACGGCGACCUUGCGGAGCUUGUUGGGGUUGCGGCCAAUGAGGACGAGGAAGAAGCGGAAGGCGAAAACGCAGCCGAUGCCAUCGGAGGCGCUUGUGACGACGGCCCAUGCGGGCACCACGACGGCGACGACGAUCAGAUCAUCGACGAUGACGACAACGAAGAAGAAGAAGAAGGAGGAGGAGGAGGAAAGGAGGAAAAUGAGGAUAUGGAGAAGAAGAGAGAGAAGGAGUAGAAGAGGAAGAGGAAGAAGAAGGAGGGUAAAAUUAUCAAUUCACAUUAUUAAUUAACCAUGGUUAAGUAUUUUAAUUGUGGUUAACGAAAUUUCUCUAACGGAUCCUAACGGUAGAGACAUAUCUGAAUACAUUAGAACUUUUGCAGAAAUGACUUAUGAAAGUUGAGUUUUGUAGGGAUAUAUAUGCAAUUCACUAUGUUUACAGGGAAGCGUAUGCAAUUAACCCAAAAAAAAAAUAUUACUGUUUGGUAUUGUAUUAAUACUUGUAUUCAAUGUAAAAAAAAAAGGGAUAUUAGACUUGUAAUCAAUAGAAAAAAUAGGUCAUUAAACUUAUUAUCGGAUCAUUAGCGCUAACCAUUAAUUCUAAAAGUUUGAGCGGUUAGAAAUAUGUAAUUAAUUUACUUAAAGUGUACAGAUGUAGUGUUCACGGGUCUUGAUUGUGACUGAGCCCAUCCAGCCUUAUUCAAAUAUGGCUCGGCCCACUUGGCCUCCUGCCGCAGGGCAGAAUGCUGGUUCAUUUAAGCCAACAAUUUUUUCUUCAGCACCUACACAAAUUCGCAACAUGUGGAAAACCCGUGACCUCUAUCUUUAAUACUAUUUGUCGGAUUGUUGGCGCUAACUAUUAAUACUAAAAGCUAAACUUGUUAAAAAUACGCAACCAAUUCACUUAAAACGUACGAAUACAACGCCUGCGGAUAUCGAUUGUCACUCGGUCCAUCCAACUUUACGUCACUUUGAACAUGACUCAGCCCAAACUAAUGUCAUGCCAUUUCAAAUGUGACUCGGCCUAUUCGGCCUCUCGCUACAUGAUAGAAUAUUGACUCAUUUAAGCCAACACUUAUAUUCAGUAGAAAAAAAAAA
This 1382-nucleotide long non-coding RNA is filed under the name Ananas comosus (pineapple). Its description in RNAcentral is "long non-coding RNA (ACOM_LNC032389)". Lineage: Eukaryota; Viridiplantae; Streptophyta; Magnoliopsida; Poales; Bromeliaceae. The record is from RNAcentral.